This 67-nucleotide transfer RNA is filed under the name Aphrophora sp. EMHAU-2015-Zz062722. RNAcentral's name for it is "tRNA-Trp". The record is from RNAcentral. Lineage: Eukaryota; Metazoa; Arthropoda; Insecta; Hemiptera; Aphrophoridae.
AAGAUUUUAAGUUAAAUAAAACUUUUAACCUUCAAAGUUAACAAUAUAAGUAAAUAUAUAGAUCUUA